GGCUCGGUAGUGGACGGUUUCCACACCCGCAAUUUGUGCAUCGUAACAAGCAGACUGUGAUGCGGGGAUCGCUCGUUCGACUCGGGCCCGAGCCA
Molecule: non-coding RNA, 95 nt
Organism: Mycena capillaripes
Lineage: Eukaryota; Fungi; Basidiomycota; Agaricomycetes; Agaricales; Mycenaceae
Source: the annotation of a GenBank genome assembly